GAAAGGAUAGCUAAUACCGGAUAAAGUCAAAGUGUCUUCGGACGUUUUGAUGAAAGACAGCCUCUGAUAUAAGCUGUCGUUUGAAGAUGAGUCCGCGCACCAUUAGCUGGCUGGUGGGGUAACGGCCUACCAGGGCGACGAUGGUUAGCUGGUCUGAGAGGAUGAUCAGCCACACUGGAACUGACACACGGUCCAGACUCCUACGGGAGGCAGCAGUGAGGAAUUUUGCGCAAUGGGGGCAACCCUGACGCAGCAACGCCGCGUGAGUGAAGAAGGCCUUUGGGUCGUAAAGCUCUGUCAACAGGGAAGAAAUUAUUCAUCAUUAAUAGUGGUGAGUAUUGACGGUACCUGUGGAGGAAGCAUCGGCUAACUUCGUGCCAGCAGCCGCGGUAAUACGGGGGAUGCAAGCGUUAUUCGGAAUCAUUGGGCGUAAAGGGCACGCAGGCGGUUUUGUCAGUCAGAUGUGAAAGCCCGGGGCUCAACCCCGGACGUGCAUUUGAAACAGCAAAACUUGAGUACGGGAGAGGAAAGCGGAAUUCCUGGUGUAGAGGUGAAAUUCGUA
RNAcentral lists this ribosomal RNA (562 nucleotides) under uncultured bacterium. Its description in RNAcentral is "bacterial SSU rRNA". It matches the Rfam family "Bacterial small subunit ribosomal RNA", at positions 153 to 692 of the family's 1533-position model. The record is from RNAcentral.